RNAcentral lists this transfer RNA (55 nucleotides) under Cucujoidea sp. 22 KM-2017. Its description in RNAcentral is "tRNA-Ser". The record is from RNAcentral. Lineage: Eukaryota; Metazoa; Arthropoda; Insecta; Coleoptera.
GAAAUAUCUAAAUUAAACUUCUAAUUUAAUAAAAAGCGUAAUCGUUUAUAUUUCU